RNAcentral lists this ribosomal RNA (253 nucleotides) under uncultured bacterium. RNAcentral describes it as "partial 16S ribosomal RNA". It matches the Rfam family "Bacterial small subunit ribosomal RNA", at positions 524 to 776 of the family's 1533-position model. The record is from RNAcentral.
UACAGAGGUCUCAAGCGUUGUUCGGAUUCAUUGGGCGUAAAGGGUGUGUAGGUGGCGCCGUAAGUCGGGUGUGAAAUUUCGGAGCUUAACUCCGAAACUGCAUUCGAUACUGCGGUGCUUGAGGACUGGAGAGGAGACUGGAAUUCAUGGUGUAGCAGUGAAAUGCGCAGAUAUCAGGAGGAACACCGAUGGCGAAGGCAGGUCUCUGGGCAUUAACUGACGCUGAGGAGCGAAAGCAUGGGGAGCGAACAGG